Molecule: ribosomal RNA, 468 nt
Filed under: uncultured bacterium
Lineage: Bacteria
Description: partial 16S ribosomal RNA
Rfam family: Bacterial small subunit ribosomal RNA
Source: RNAcentral
GACGAACGCUGGCGGCGUGCUUAACACAUGCAAGUCGAACGGAAAGGCCCUGCUUUUGUGUGGUGCUCGAGUGGCGAACGGGUGAGUAACACGUGAGUAACCUGCCCUUGACUUUGGGAUAACUUCAGGAAACUGGGGCUAAUACCUGAUAGGAGCUCCUGCUGCAUGGUGGGGGUUGGACAGUUUCGGCGGUUGGGGAUGGACUCGCGGCUUAUCAGCUUGUUGGUGGGGUAGUUGCUUACCCAGGGUUUGAAGGGUAGCCGGCCUGAGAGGGUGACCGGGCACAUGGGGACUGAGGGACGGACCAGACGCCUACGGGGGGCAGCAGGGGGAAAUAUUGCACAAUGGGGGGAAGCCUGAGGCAGAAACGCCGCGUGCGGGAUGACGGCCUUCGGGGUGUAAACCGCUUUCGCCUGUGACGAAGCGGGAGUGACGGUAAUGGGUAAAGAAGCACCGGCUAACUACGUG